CCUACGGGAGGCAGCAGUAGGGAAUUUUGCGCAAUGGGCGAAAGCCUGACGCAGCAACGCCGCGUGAUCGAGACGCCCUUCGGGGUGUAAAGAUCUGUCAGUGGGGACGAAACUUGACGGUACCCACAGAGGAAGCACCGGCUAACUCCGUGCCAGCAGCCGCGGUAAUACGGGGGGUGCAAGCGUUGUCCGGAAUCAUUGGGCGUAAAGGGUUCGUAGGCGGCACGUAAAGUCUGGUGUUAAAGGGAGAGGCUCAACUUCUGUACGGCACUGGAUACUUGCGAGCUAGAAUGCGGUAGAGGUAAAGGGAAUUCCUGGUGUAGCGGUGAAAUGCUUAGAUAUCAGGAGGAACAUCGGUGGCGUAAGCGCUUUACUGGGCCGUAAUUGACGCUGAGGAACGAAAGUCAGGGUAUCGAACAGGAUUAGAUACCCUUGUAGUC
RNAcentral lists this ribosomal RNA (440 nucleotides) under uncultured bacterium. Its description in RNAcentral is "partial 16S ribosomal RNA". It matches the Rfam family "Bacterial small subunit ribosomal RNA", at positions 338 to 795 of the family's 1533-position model. The record is from RNAcentral.